This 246-nucleotide long non-coding RNA is filed under the name Dromaius novaehollandiae (emu). RNAcentral describes it as "lncRNA (ENSDNVG00000004867.1)". The record is from RNAcentral. Lineage: Eukaryota; Metazoa; Chordata; Aves; Casuariiformes; Dromaiidae.
UCCUUUGUGGCUACAGAAGACAGCCUUUUCUGAGACCACUGCAAGUCAGACAUGGGGAACGAGUGGGCAACAGCGUGCCUCUGAGCCGGGAGGACUUGCUUCAUCACGGCUGUCAGUGUCUGCAGAAGGAGCAGCAGUAGCAGCUAACGAAGGCACUGUCAGCUGGGCAUACGUAAAUGUAGGAAAUGAAGGUUCAAGUUCCUGAUCCGGUGAGUAAGAGGAUGUACAUGACUUGUUUUAAAUGGU